Molecule: RNA transcript, 5336 nt
Organism: Homo sapiens (human)
Lineage: Eukaryota; Metazoa; Chordata; Mammalia; Primates; Hominidae
Gene: P2RX7
Gene name: purinergic receptor P2X 7
Exons: 13
Source: RefSeq, marked reviewed
UUUCAUUUUGCAGUUACUGGGAGGGGGCUUGCUGUGGCCCUGUCAGGAAGAGUAGAGCUCUGGUCCAGCUCCGCGCAGGGAGGGAGGCUGUCACCAUGCCGGCCUGCUGCAGCUGCAGUGAUGUUUUCCAGUAUGAGACGAACAAAGUCACUCGGAUCCAGAGCAUGAAUUAUGGCACCAUUAAGUGGUUCUUCCACGUGAUCAUCUUUUCCUACGUUUGCUUUGCUCUGGUGAGUGACAAGCUGUACCAGCGGAAAGAGCCUGUCAUCAGUUCUGUGCACACCAAGGUGAAGGGGAUAGCAGAGGUGAAAGAGGAGAUCGUGGAGAAUGGAGUGAAGAAGUUGGUGCACAGUGUCUUUGACACCGCAGACUACACCUUCCCUUUGCAGCUUUUUAGACGCACAGCCACCAAGCCAGCAAGGUCUGCCGAGAUUCAGAAGGACAGAGAACUUUCUACCAAAGAGCACCAGCCCUUCUAGAUUGUGUAGCAUUUCAUCAACAAAAAUGACUCCAGGAGACCAUUCUUGGGGGAACUCUUUCUUCGUGAUGACAAACUUUCUCAAAACAGAAGGCCAAGAGCAGCGGUUGUGUCCCGAGUAUCCCACCCGCAGGACGCUCUGUUCCUCUGACCGAGGUUGUAAAAAGGGAUGGAUGGACCCGCAGAGCAAAGGAAUUCAGACCGGAAGGUGUGUAGUGUAUGAAGGGAACCAGAAGACCUGUGAAGUCUCUGCCUGGUGCCCCAUCGAGGCAGUGGAAGAGGCCCCCCGGCCUGCUCUCUUGAACAGUGCCGAAAACUUCACUGUGCUCAUCAAGAACAAUAUCGACUUCCCCGGCCACAACUACACCACGAGAAACAUCCUGCCAGGUUUAAACAUCACUUGUACCUUCCACAAGACUCAGAAUCCACAGUGUCCCAUUUUCCGACUAGGAGACAUCUUCCGAGAAACAGGCGAUAAUUUUUCAGAUGUGGCAAUUCAGGGCGGAAUAAUGGGCAUUGAGAUCUACUGGGACUGCAACCUAGACCGUUGGUUCCAUCACUGCCGUCCCAAAUACAGUUUCCGUCGCCUUGACGACAAGACCACCAACGUGUCCUUGUACCCUGGCUACAACUUCAGAUACGCCAAGUACUACAAGGAAAACAAUGUUGAGAAACGGACUCUGAUAAAAGUCUUCGGGAUCCGUUUUGACAUCCUGGUUUUUGGCACCGGAGGAAAAUUUGACAUUAUCCAGCUGGUUGUGUACAUCGGCUCAACCCUCUCCUACUUCGGUCUGGUAAGAGAUUCUCUUUUCCAUGCUUUAGGAAAAUGGUUUGGAGAAGGAAGUGACUAACGCAGCGCUUGUCUGCAUUCUCCCCAGGCCGCUGUGUUCAUCGACUUCCUCAUCGACACUUACUCCAGUAACUGCUGUCGCUCCCAUAUUUAUCCCUGGUGCAAGUGCUGUCAGCCCUGUGUGGUCAACGAAUACUACUACAGGAAGAAGUGCGAGUCCAUUGUGGAGCCAAAGCCGACAUUAAAGUAUGUGUCCUUUGUGGAUGAAUCCCACAUUAGGAUGGUGAACCAGCAGCUACUAGGGAGAAGUCUGCAAGAUGUCAAGGGCCAAGAAGUCCCAAGACCUGCGAUGGACUUCACAGAUUUGUCCAGGCUGCCCCUGGCCCUCCAUGACACACCCCCGAUUCCUGGACAACCAGAGGAGAUACAGCUGCUUAGAAAGGAGGCGACUCCUAGAUCCAGGGAUAGCCCCGUCUGGUGCCAGUGUGGAAGCUGCCUCCCAUCUCAACUCCCUGAGAGCCACAGGUGCCUGGAGGAGCUGUGCUGCCGGAAAAAGCCGGGGGCCUGCAUCACCACCUCAGAGCUGUUCAGGAAGCUGGUCCUGUCCAGACACGUCCUGCAGUUCCUCCUGCUCUACCAGGAGCCCUUGCUGGCGCUGGAUGUGGAUUCCACCAACAGCCGGCUGCGGCACUGUGCCUACAGGUGCUACGCCACCUGGCGCUUCGGCUCCCAGGACAUGGCUGACUUUGCCAUCCUGCCCAGCUGCUGCCGCUGGAGGAUCCGGAAAGAGUUUCCGAAGAGUGAAGGGCAGUACAGUGGCUUCAAGAGUCCUUACUGAAGCCAGGCACCGUGGCUCACGUCUGUAAUCCCAGCGCUUUGGGAGGCCGAGGCAGGCAGAUCACCUGAGGUCGGGAGUUGGAGACCCGCCUGGCUAACAAGGCGAAAUCCUGUCUGUACUAAAAAUACAAAAAUCAGCCAGACAUGGUGGCAUGCACCUGCAAUCCCAGCUACUCGGGAGGCUGAGGCACAAGAAUCACUUGAACCCGGGAGGCAGAGGUUGUAGUGAGCCCAGAUUGUGCCACUGCUCUCCAGCCUGGGAGGCACAGCAAACUGUCCCCCAAAAAAAAAAAAGAGUCCUUACCAAUAGCAGGGGCUGCAGUAGCCAUGUUAACAUGACAUUUACCAGCAACUUGAACUUCACCUGCAAAGCUCUGUGGCCACAUUUUCAGCCAAAGGGAAAUAUGCUUUCAUCUUCUGUUGCUCUCUGUGUCUGAGAGCAAAGUGACCUGGUUAAACAAACCAGAAUCCCUCUACAUGGACUCAGAGAAAAGAGAUUGAGAUGUAAGUCUCAACUCUGUCCCCAGGAAGUUGUGUGACCCUAGGCCUCUCACCUCUGUGCCUCUGUCUCCUUGUUGCCCAACUACUAUCUCAGAGAUAUUGUGAGGACAAAUUGAGACAGUGCACAUGAACUGUCUUUUAAUGUGUAAAGAUCUACAUGAAUGCAAAACAUUUCAUUAUGAGGUCAGACUAGGAUAAUGUCCAACUAAAAACAAACCCUUUUCAUCCUGGCUGGAGAAUGUGGAGAACUAAAGGUGGCCACAAAUUCUUUGACACUCAAGUCCCCCAAGACCUAAGGGUUUUAUCUCCUCCCCUUGAAUAUGGGUGGCUCUGAUUGCUUUAUCCAAAAGUGGAAGUGACAUUGUGUCAGUUUCAGAUCCUGAUCUUAAGAGGCUGACAGCUUCUACUUGCUGUCCCUUGGAACUCUUGCUAUCGGGGAAGCCAGACGCCAUUUAAAAGUCUGCCUAUCCUGGCCAGGUGUGGUGGCUCACACCUGUAAUCCCAGCACUUUGGGAGACCAAGGCGGGCGGAUCACUUAAAGUCAGGAGUCCAAGACCAGACUCGCCAACAUGGUGAAACCGUAUCUCUAAUAAAAAUACAAAAAUUAGCUGGGCAUGGUGCGGGCACCUGUAGUCCUAGCUAUCAAGAGGCUGAGACAGGAGAAACACUUGAACCUGGGAGGUGGAGGUUGCAUUGAGCUGAGAUCGUGCCACUGCACUCCAGGCUGGGUGACAGAGCGAGACUCCAUCUCAAAAAAAAAAAAAAGAAAAAAAAAAUGUCUGCCUAUCCUGAGACUGCCCUGCUGUGAGGAAGCCCAAGCAGUCACGUGGACAGUGCCUGACCAGCCCCAGCUUUCAAGCCAUCCAAGCCCAGUCACCAAACAUGAGAGAGAAGAAGCCUUCAGGUGAUUCUGGACUCCACUAACAUAUGACUGAUACCGCAUGAUACAUCCCAAGUGAGAACUGCCCCAUAAAUCCAGAAAACCACAUUGCUAUCUUAAGUCCCUAAGUUUGGGGCUUAUUUGUUCCACAGCAACAGGUAACUGGAACAGAGGGCAAGCCUGAUGAAUGGGCACACAGACUCAGCCCAUACCUUCCCUGGUUCUAAUGUUCUCAGGGAGCCCGGACCAACCCUGGGAGCCUCAGGAACUUAGGUUUCCACUGGACAGUUCUAGAAGGGCUAUAGACCAAAUCAGGUAACUCACCAGACCAGCCUUGGAAUCUAUCAAAUCUAACUGCUGAGCUACCCAAUGCAUUCCGAUCCUCAUCACAAUUCUUUGACUGAAGGCCGGGCGUGGUGGCUCACGCCUGUAAUCCCAGCACUUUGGGAGGCUGAGGCGGGUGGAUCACCUGAGGUCAGGAGUUCGAGACCAGCCUGGCCAACAUGGUGAGACCCUGUCUCUACUAAGAAUACAAAAAUUAGGUGGGUGUGGCGGUGGGCGCCUGUAAUCCCAGCUACUUGGGAGGCUGAGGCAGGAGAAUCUCUUGAACCUGGAAGGUGGAGGUUGCAAUAAGCCGAGAUAGUGCCACUGCACUCCAGCCUAGAUAACAGAGCAAGACUCUGUCUCAAAAAACAACAACAACAACAACAAAACAAUUCUAUGACUGAAAGUGACUAAAAAGCUGGCUUUAUGCCAUUAACACUCUGUACUUUGCAGCCAAUCAGAACUGACGCAGUCUGGGUGCUAGCUGCUUCAAAAGCAACCCACACCACACUUUUACCAUUUCCAUACAUCAACUGCUGAGAAUAUGAAAAUGCACAGUGACAGGUUUUAGGAUCCUGCUUCAGGAUUUCCUUUUCCUGGUUUGGUCACUAGAGUUGGCUAUUUAUCUGUUUCUAAACAAUAGCUAUUUUAUCGAAUAGUUUAGAGACCACUAUUAAAUAUUGUGACUGAUGAAGGAUCUGUGAAUUUUUUUAUAUAUGUUCUAAGAGUUACCAUUUUGAUACCUUUUAAAAACCAGCAGCUUUCUACUAUAUUCAUGUAAGACAGCAUGAAUAAAACCAUUUUUUGAUACAGGGUUUUAUUUGGCUUUAAACUCAGGAACCAAGUUAAUUAUGCCAGAUUGAACUUUGAUUUUUACUACCUUUUCAAAGAUAUUUUAAAAAGUGGAUUACUACAUAUGAUUUCUUUGGAGCUUACAUUUCUUUACUUCACGAAUUCUAUGUCACUGUUACAAGUUUCCAUUCUGAUGGCUUCUGGGCCUUUGUACCUUUGUUUUUGGUGCCUUAUUCCUAGUAUGUUUCUAUCACCUUAAUGAGGCCGCAGAUGGAGUCAGAAUGUGAAAUUACAAAUAAUCACUGGAUCCAUCUACUGUUUUCCAUCACCUUCCCCACUGAUGCUCUGGGCGAGAGAGUGAUGUGUCACUUCAACUGUGUGUAAUAUGUCAGACACGUCCUACAAUAACAGGCGUCAUAUUUGUAUUAUUUUUAGUUUACUGUAGAAAAUAAUGUCACCGCCAAAGGUGAUGAGAGUCACGUUUUGUAGGAUCUGUUUUCUUAUACUUAAAGACAGACUUCUGCUACGGUAAUUGCCAGUAUUCAUGGCUUCCUUUCUGUGUCAGAAGAGAAGGGAUCUGCUUUCUCUUGGCUGAUUUCACAUAGCAUUGGUAAUAGACAUGCAUUUCUCUUUCUAAAGGGGAGUAACUUUUUAAACCCUUCCUGAUUUUAGCCUGGCAAUGUAAGUGUCCUUAAUGUGACUGUUUUGAUAAUUAAAAAAAGGUAUAUAAUUUA